AGUGAACGCUGGCGGUAGGCCUAACACAUGCAAGUCGAACGGAAGCACACUAAUAGUUUGCUGUUCCGGGGGGGCGGAGGGGUACGGAGGAGGAAAAAAUCGGAACCUACUUUUUGGGGGGGGUUAAGGAAGGGAAAGUUACUCAAAUACAGCAUCCCCCCUCGGGGGGAAGGCGGGGGAUAUUCGGACCUGGUGGGAUUGAAUGGGCGGAUGCGGAAUUAGUUGGUGGGGGGGUUAAAGACCAACCAAGGGGAGGAUCGGUAGCUGGUCGGGGAGAAUGAUCAGCCACACUGGAACGUAGACACGGUCCAGACUCCUACGGGAGGCAGCAGUGUGGAAUAUUGGACAAUGGGCGCAAGCCUGGUCCAGCCAUACCGCGUGGGUGAAGGAGGCCUUCGGGUUGUAAAGCCCUUUUGUUGGGAAAGAAAAGCAGCAGGUUAAUACCCCGCUGUUCUGACGGUACCCAAAGAAUAAGCACCGGCUAACUUCGUG
This 492-nucleotide ribosomal RNA is filed under the name uncultured bacterium. Its description in RNAcentral is "partial 16S ribosomal RNA". It matches the Rfam family "Bacterial small subunit ribosomal RNA", at positions 30 to 507 of the family's 1533-position model. The record is from RNAcentral.